ACAUGGACCUUUGUUCAGCUUGUUAAUUUUUCAUCAUGGUGAUAAAUAAAAUAAUGUAGUCAUUUGGUAUGUGAUAAAUUUGCUCCGUUAACUCAAAUCAAUUACUCAUCAAACAUGUUUGUUCGCGCACUUAAUCGCGGUUGUCAAAUAUAGCGUGUUCUUAUAUGUAAUGUCUUAUUACAAUAACGAGUUCAAACAUCAAAACCAUCCAAGAUUUUUUUUUAUCAAAUUCACACAAAGGAACAUAAACUGCUGAUUUAGAUGUUUAUUGUAAUUUAAACCGAUUUUAAUACCGUGGGAAACAUAUCUAAAUAUGUAUAGAUCAAUGAUAUAAGAGACGUAUUUUUAGGUUUGUUUUCCGAAAAUCAUAAAACAGACAGUACAUAAAUCACUUUAUGCAGAUCGUACGGACAUAAGCAAUAAACAUAUCCAAAUAGGGUAGAUCGUUUUUGUUGUUACAUUGUGUGUUCGAUCACAUUAAGGCUUGACUACUACUAGUAUAUAAAUCCAUAUUUAUCAUUUAUGAAGAACUGAAUAGUUUGUAUAAGAUUACAAGAUAACAAAAUGGCAGGCGAUGGCUUCCGUGAUAACCGAGGACGUUUUCUACCGAAUCAUAUGAACGCUAACGAUGCAUUACAACGUUGGUGAUAGGUAUCAAGUAUCAGCUGAUUAUAUGGGCAAACCUGAAAAUGCUAUAGCGGAGAUUAAAGAACCUAAUCCGCAUCAGUACGGUCCUGGGGUGAGCUCAGAUAUUUAUCCGAAGAAUGGAAACCCGCCUAAUCUUGUCACAGUGAACAAAAAGUAUAAAAAGUGAUACAUACUACUUAGUAACGCAUCUUAAAGUAAUAUACAGUUUAUUGAACAAAAGUUUUAUCUGACAUUAGGAAAGUACUUUAGUUUGGAAAGCGAAAAUUUUUUAUCAUUGUUCCUGAUUUAUUGUUUAUUGUUAAUCUAUAUACUGUGUUACUUUCAUGAUAAAUUAAUUUUUAGUUUUAAGUAUUACUAUAAAAUCAUAAUUUUUUUUUUUGAUACCGAUGAUUAGUAUUCAAAAUGUUAUUAAUAAAUGUUUAACAUUUUAGCAAUUUG
Molecule: long non-coding RNA, 1086 nt
Organism: Ruditapes philippinarum (Manila clam)
Lineage: Eukaryota; Metazoa; Mollusca; Bivalvia; Venerida; Veneridae
Exons: 2
Source: RefSeq, a predicted model, not a curated record